RNAcentral lists this ribosomal RNA (470 nucleotides) under Oryzias marmoratus (marmorated medaka). RNAcentral's name for it is "partial 16S ribosomal RNA". It matches the Rfam family "Bacterial large subunit ribosomal RNA", at positions 1970 to 2594 of the family's 2925-position model. Lineage: Eukaryota; Metazoa; Chordata; Actinopteri; Beloniformes; Adrianichthyidae. The record is from RNAcentral.
UGUCUUUUAAAUGAAGACCUGUAUGAAUGGCAUAACGAGGGCUUAACUGUCUCCUCCCCCCAGUCAAUGAAAUUGAUCUCCCCGUGCAGAAGCGGGGAUAACAACAUAAGACGAGAAGACCCUGUGGAGCUUAAAAUCACGAACAGACCAUGUCAAGGACAACAAACAAGAACAUCAAACAAAUUGGCCACUGUUUAUGUAUUUUUGGUUGGGGCGACCGCGGGGUAAUAAAUAACCCCCAUGUGGACUAAGAAAACAUUCUUAAAACUAAGAGCCCCCGCUCUAAGUAACAGAACUUCUGACCUUAAUGAUCCGGCCUGGCCGAUCAACGAACCCAGUUACCCCAGGGAUAACAGCGCAAUCCUCUUCUAGAGCCCAUAUCGACAAGAGGGUUUACGACCUCGAUGUUGGAUCAGGACAUCCUAAUGGUGUAGCCGCUAUUAAGGGUUUGUUUGUUCAACAAUUAAAGU